This 253-nucleotide ribosomal RNA is filed under the name uncultured bacterium. Its description in RNAcentral is "partial 16S ribosomal RNA". It matches the Rfam family "Bacterial small subunit ribosomal RNA", at positions 524 to 776 of the family's 1533-position model. The record is from RNAcentral.
UACGUAGGUGGCGAGCGUUGUCCGGAUUUACUGGGCGUAAAGGGCGUGCAGGCGGUUUGUUAAGUGCAGAGUGAAAGCUCCCGGCUCAACUGGGAGAGGUCUUUGCAUACUGGCAAACUCGAGGGAGGCAGAGGAAAGUGGAAUUCCCGGUGUAGUGGUGAUAUGCGUAGAUAUCGGGAGGAACACCAGUGGCGAAGGCGACUUCCUGGCCUGUUCUUGACGCUGAGGCGCGAAAGCUAGGGGAGCAAACGGG